This 83-nucleotide transfer RNA is filed under the name Scedosporium apiospermum. It matches the Rfam family "tRNA". Rfam says of the family: Transfer RNA (tRNA) molecules are approximately 80 nucleotides in length. Their secondary structure includes four short double-helical elements and three loops (D, anti-codon, and T loops). Lineage: Eukaryota; Fungi; Ascomycota; Sordariomycetes; Microascales; Microascaceae. The record is from Rfam by way of RNAcentral.
GGGCGGCUGGCGCAAUGGUAGCGCGUUGCUCUCCUAUUCAGAGCACCAAGCAAAGGUUGCAAGUUCGAGUCUUGCGUCGCUCG